CAAUCGGUCCUUUUCAGGACCACCAAAUCUUUACUAAAAAGAUGAA
This is a regulatory RNA element of Drosophila grimshawi, 46 nucleotides long. It matches the Rfam family "Histone 3' UTR stem-loop". Rfam says of the family: The mRNAs of metazoan histone genes lack a poly-A tail. 3' end processing occurs at a site between a highly conserved stem-loop (modelled by this family) and a purine rich region around 20 nts downstream (the histone downstream element, or HDE). The stem-loop is bound by a 31 kDa stem-loop binding protein (SLBP - also termed the histone hairpin binding protein, or HBP). The record is from Rfam. Lineage: Eukaryota; Metazoa; Arthropoda; Insecta; Diptera; Drosophilidae.